RNAcentral lists this ribosomal RNA (468 nucleotides) under uncultured bacterium. RNAcentral's name for it is "partial 16S ribosomal RNA". It matches the Rfam family "Bacterial small subunit ribosomal RNA", at positions 28 to 507 of the family's 1533-position model. The record is from RNAcentral.
GACGAACGCUGGCGGCGUGCUUAACACAUGCAAGUCGAACGGAAAGGCCCUGCUUUUGUGGGGUGCUCGAGUGGCGAACGGGUGAGUAACACGUGAGUAACCUGCCCUUGACUUUGGGAUAACUUCAGGAAACUGGGGCUAAUACCGGAUAGGAGCUCCUGCUGAAUGGUGGGGGUUGGAAAGUUUCGGCGGUUGGGGAUGGACUCGCGGCUUAUCAGCUUGUUGGUGGGGUAGUGGCUUACCAAGGCUUUGACGGGUAGCCGGCCUGAGAGGGUGACCGGCCACAUUGGGACUGAGAUACGGCCCAGACUCCUACGGGAGGCAGCAGUGGGGAAUAUUGCACAAUGGUCGGAAGCCUGAUGCAGCAACGCCGCGUGCGGGAUGACGGCCUUCGGGUUGUAAACCGCUUUCGCCUGUGACGAAGCGUGAGUGACGGUAAUGGGUAAAGAAGCACCGGCUAACUACGUG